RNAcentral lists this ribosomal RNA (603 nucleotides) under Triticum aestivum (bread wheat). RNAcentral's name for it is "partial small subunit ribosomal RNA". Lineage: Eukaryota; Viridiplantae; Streptophyta; Magnoliopsida; Poales; Poaceae. The record is from RNAcentral.
AUGGAGAUCUCGCCGUCGCCCAAAGACCACGUUGCCGCUCCGGCUAGGCUACCGCCGGUCAGGUACUACGUGCCGGACGUCUGGGAGAUAAAGACGGAGGAGCCCCCCGUCCAAGACCCAGACUCUCCGCAGUCUCCGAGCCAGAUAGGCGAUGACGUGCCGCCGCUGGUGUUCCCCGACCCCGACUCCUCCUCGCUAUCCCGCCGGACGGCGUUCGAGCGCCACCUCCCCGCCACCUACGACGAGCAGCCGGCGGAGCCGGAACCACCCGCGCGGCGGCGGCGCCCAGAGGACGAAGACCCAGACCUGUACUGCUGCCUCGAAGACCCCAACGACCCCGAGUGCGUGCGCCGGAGCCACGAGUUCCAGAGCAAACGGUACGCCGUGCACGCGCUGCGGGGCUACAACGCCGACCCCGGCAACGGCGUCAAGUACGAGCUGGUCGAGGGCAGCGCCAGGAGCAACAGCAUCCUGCUCGACUGCGCCGAGAUCCUCGGCCACGUGGUCUUCACCGCCAGGCCUGCCGCCGCCGGCGGUGGACGGGAUCGGACCUUCUUCGCCGAGGUUCGCAUGCCGGACCAUGCCCUCGCCUGCAUGAUUUAG